UACGGAGGGUGCGAGCGUUAAUCGGAAUAACUGGGCGUAAAGGGCCCGCAGGCGGGCUUUUAAGUGAGAUGUGAAAUCCCCGGGCUUAACCUGGGAAUGGCAUUUCAGACUGGGAGUCUAGAGUACGGUAGGGAGAGGUAGAAUUCCAGGUGUAGCGGUGAAAUGCGUAGAGAUGUGGAGGAAUACCGAAGGCGAAGGCAGCCCCUUGGGAAUGUACUGACGCUGAUGUGCGAAAGCGUGGGGAGCAAACAGG
This 253-nucleotide ribosomal RNA is filed under the name uncultured bacterium. Its description in RNAcentral is "partial 16S ribosomal RNA". It matches the Rfam family "Bacterial small subunit ribosomal RNA", at positions 524 to 776 of the family's 1533-position model. The record is from RNAcentral.